Molecule: non-coding RNA, 214 nt
Organism: Pelobates cultripes (western spadefoot toad)
Lineage: Eukaryota; Metazoa; Chordata; Amphibia; Anura; Pelobatidae
Source: the annotation of a GenBank genome assembly
GGCUCUUAUUAUGCUAGUUCAAAGCUGUGUGAUCACUGACGUGGAAAAAUGGGAAACCGGACGGAAAUAAAAUUCACGGAAUGUAGAUUCUCUCGACCAAUCGGCUGCUUGGAGAUCUUCCAAUUUACAGCCUAAUGAAAACGCUUUUGAUGCCAUCGCACCCCUCACUGAAUGUGCUCCGUAUGUGUAAGUAUCAAUGCCUGCCGAUGUCAUG